This 491-nucleotide ribosomal RNA is filed under the name uncultured bacterium. RNAcentral describes it as "partial 16S ribosomal RNA". The record is from RNAcentral.
CACGUAGUUAGCCGGAGCUUAUUCUACAGGUACUGUCUUUUUUCUUCCCUGUCUAAAGCAGUUUACAAUCCGAAAACCUUCUUCCUGCACGCGGCGUCACUGCGUCAGAGUUUCCUCCAUUGCGCAAUAUUCCCGACUACUGCCUCCCGUAGGAGUCUGGGCCGUAUCUCAGUCCCAAUGUGGCCGUUCAACCUCUCAGUUCGGCUACUGAUCGUUGACUUGGUAGGCCAUUACCCCACCAACUAUCUAAUCAGACGCAAGCCUAUCUAUCAGCGGAUUGCUCCUUUCCCAUUUGUAUCAUGUGAUACUCAUGGCAUAUGCGGUAUUAGCAGUCAUUUCUAACUGUUGUUCCCCUCUGAUAGGUAAGUUGCUUACGUGUUACUCACCAGUCCGCCACUAACCGCUCCAAUAGUAAACUAAAGGUUAAUUCGUUCGACUUGCAUGUCUUAUGUGCGCCGCCAGUCGUUUAUCCUGAGCCAGGAUCAAACUCU